AACGAACGCUGGCGGCAUGCCUAACACAUGCAAGUCGAACGAGACCUUCGGGUCUAGUGGCGCACGGGUGCGUAACGCGUGGGAACCUGCACUUAGGUUCGGAAUAACUCCCCGAAAGGGGUGCUAAUACCGGACAAUGUCUUCGGACCAAAGAUUUAUCGCCUCUGGAUGGGCCCGCGUUGGAUUAGCUAGUUGGUAGGGUAAAAGGAUACCAAGGCGAGGAUUCAUAGCUGGUCUGAGAGGAUGAGCAGCCACACUGGGACUGAGACACGGCCCAGACUCCUACGGGAGGCAGGAGAGGGGAAUAUUGCACAAUGGGCGAAGGGCUGAUGCAGCAAGGACGCGUGAGUGAUGAAGGCCUUGGGGUUGUAAAGCUCUUUUACCCGGUAUGAUAAUGACAGUACCGAGAGAAAAAGCUCCGGCUAACUCCGUG
This 433-nucleotide ribosomal RNA is filed under the name uncultured bacterium. RNAcentral's name for it is "partial 16S ribosomal RNA". It matches the Rfam family "Bacterial small subunit ribosomal RNA", at positions 29 to 507 of the family's 1533-position model. The record is from RNAcentral.